CGGCCGAAUACAGCAAAAUAGAUUUGAAUUCAUGUGUGCCAAAACAAAUUGACGUCUAAAAAAACAAAGAACGUCGUUUUGACAGACAACAAACAACAAUAAAAGUUUCAAAAAUUUUGAAAUAAAUUAGUAAUGAAAAAUAAACAAAGCCUGCAAAACUGUGUCCUUAUCCGGGUAUCCUUUUUCAAUGGUUCACGUGUCGUUGAGUAUUUAAACUGUUUCUGAUUAUGGAGUUAAAAAAUGCUGGAAAAAACUGUAAUGAAUGCAGGCAUUCAUUCAAGGCAUGCGAGUGUAAGUUCUGUUCAAAAUGUGGUACACCUUUUAUGAAGUAUUUUGGUACUAGCAUUAUCAAGGGAAGGUCACACUGCCGAUCAUGUUUAUCAGCAGCUUGUAUAGCAUGCAUAAUGAUUCUUGAUGACCAUGAAAAGGUUUGCACAAGAUGCCACAUAAAACAAUGUGAGGCAGAAAUUAAAACUGAAAAAGCUUUGUUAGCUAUAUGUGAAGAAAAGUUUGGUGAAGUUCAAAGUAACUUAUCAGUUAUAAAUGGCUUGAAAACAAAUAAGCAGAAAGUUGAUGCUAUAUUUGAUGCUGUGAAAAGAGGGCAAGAUUGUUUGGUAAUAACAUUGAUCAACCUGGGUUGUGAUGUUAAUACUGUUGAUUCCAAUAAAAAUACUUUAUUGCAUUAUGCUUGUGAAGGUGGAUACUUGGCUUGUGCAGCUUUGUUACUAGAAAAAGGCGUUGAUAUAAAUGCAGUUAAUGAUAAGGGUUGGUCUGCUCUUCAUUCAGCUGUUUCCAAAGCUGAAACAGAUAAACAUGUUGAAUCUAUUGAAUUUUUAUUAGAAAUGGGUGCUGAUGUGUUGUUGGAAAAUCAUAAAAAUGAAACAGCAACUGACCUAGCUAAACGCUGUGCUGUAAAUAAGAAGGUCAUUCAAAUUUUGGUAGCUGCGGAAAUUGAAGCUGCUGCUCUGGAAUUGGACUCAAAGAUCAAACUUAUUGAAUGCAAUAACCCAUCUCCAAAGGAAAGACGUUUGUUUCGUCUCAUAACAACAAUAAUUAACUACUUGAAAGAUCAACAUUGCAAUAAAAUUGAAGUUAAACAUAAAAUGAGUCGCUGUGAAGUAAGAAAAAGUGUUUCUGAAACUAAUCUCCAGUCAUGUGUUAGUCCUGAAACAACAAACGAACUACUUAGAAACAAUACAUUUUCAAGUUCUAAACUUUUUAAGCAAAAAUCAAAAUCAUUCCUGCAGAUAUUAAAUGAAAAAAGUGAGUGGGAGACACGAACACGAAAUCUAAUGCAAACAAUAGCAUUUUCAAAUACUGAACAUCAAAAAGAAAUUGCUUUAUUAAAAAAUGAAAUUCACACCAUUAAUGAAGAAAAUGCAAAGAAAGCAGCUAAAGUUGAAUUACUUUUUGCAGAAAAAAUGUCCAAACUUAAACAAGACUUAUUAAUGAAACUACCUUAAAUAAAUUAUUUCAUCUUCAACAGCAAAACUAUGCCAAGUACUUGUUUUGUUAACGGUUGCUCAAGUAGAGCUGACCGUGAAAAGAUGUCUUUCCAUAGCUUCCCCGCUAUUAUAAAACAUCAAGAUAAUAAAACGCUAGAGUUGUCAGCUAAGAGGCGCUGCGAGUGGAUUGCAGCAGUUAAUAGACAAAAAAAAACUAACCAAGUUCUUGAAAAUAUGCUCUGCUCACUUUAAUUCGGGUAAACCAGCUGCAUUAUAUGGCGUCACCAGUCUGGGUUCCUAGUUUAUUAUUGUCUGCAUCAGAAAGGCAACCACAAGAUAAAGAGACAGACACCUCCACUCUCCACAGAACUUUAAAAGUUGCAAGAUAUUCUCGUGCGCAAAUUAGAGCUGAAAAAAAGACCAUGUAUACUGCCGCAGAGGAUUUGCUACAUUUUGCAGAAGGAGCUGCUAGUGAAACAGUUAGCGAAGUUUCAAUCAGCGAUUUUAUUGCAAAACGUAAAAUAUGCACUUUUUUGUUGAAAGGUCCUGUUGAUAAAAAGCAAAGUAAUGAAGUCGAAUUCCUGACGAUUGAUGAUAGUCUCUCAGCGCAAAAUAAUGAAAUUGAAUUCCUGAUGCAAGAUUAUAGACGAGUUCUAAGUGAGAACAUUAAGUUAAAGGAGAAGCUCCUCUCGUUUGAAGUAACAGUUGAGUCAUUUACCAAUGAUGAUAAAGUCCUUUAUUACACAGGCUUGCACUGUCGUAAAGUGCUAUUAGCUGCUUUCCAGCAUGUCGAAGCAUAUAUUUCGUUAACAGCGCAUUCGCGACUAUCUAAGUUCGAAAAAUUGAUUCUUACGCUAAUGAAGCUUCGUCUUGGAACCCCAAUACAAGACUUAGCAUUUCGAUUUGACAUUUCCUAUUCCGUUGCUUCAAAAACUUUCAAGAAUAUUUUGCACAUACUAUAUGUUCGUAUGAAACCUCUGAUUUACUGGCCAGAAAGAAAAGAAUUACAACAAUCUAUGCCAUUAUCGUACAGACAACACUUUGGGCUUAAGAUAGCUGUCAUCAUAGACUGUUUUGAAAUUUUUAUUGAAAGACCCUCGAAUCUUAUGGCUAGAGUGCAGACAUGGAGCAACUAUAAAAGUCAUAACACCGUAAAAUAUUUGAUUAACAUUGUUCCACAAGGCGUUAUUUCUUUCAUUUCCCAAGGAUGGGGUGGGAGAACUAGCGACAAGCUUAUCACCGAACAAUGUGGACUCCUUGAGAAGCUCAA
Hydra vulgaris (swiftwater hydra) is the source of this 2715-nucleotide non-coding RNA. The record is from RefSeq and is a predicted model, not a curated record. NCBI's taxonomy places the organism in Eukaryota, Metazoa, Cnidaria, Hydrozoa, Anthoathecata, Hydridae.